GCGAUAAGUUAUAGAUUGACAAGGUAGUGCAAUAAACUCCCAGGAUUUCCCCCUGAACAGGCAUGAUAACGCACAUGAUUUCCCGCCAUGGGUCCUAUUGAUGCAGAUGGGUUUCCGCGUGGGACAGGGUCUGAGCCUGGAGCUCUGCAGCACGAUGCUAUGGAACAUUUCCCAGAACCAGUGACUCACCUGGAUGACCGUGUUGCCCCCCUCCAGCAGAGCGAUGGCCAACAGGAUGCUCUCUUGGAAGAUGCGGUCGCUGGUGGCGUUCAUGAUGAGGUCGAUGACCAGGUCCUAUAACUCUUACUGCAGCAGCGGUGAGAUAACAGCGCCUAUCAGAGCCGUCUCUGGCUGUGCAGGCCACUGAAUCAACAACACAUCCCAUUCUAGACGGAGCAUGGCUCUCUGGUCGCCUGGCAACAACACGGCCCACGUUAUGCUGAGGAGAGAGCCAGUAUGCUCUGAGGCAGAGCCGAGGUCCAUGGGCUUAAAGGAGUACAAGGCCAUGGCUGUGAAUAAGAUCGCUCUGAAGCAUUAGAGAUGAGCGAUGACUCAUGGCUGUGAUGAGAGACUCGUCGGAAUGAAUAAAUGUCAGUUAGGAACAAUUUAUUAGAUUUGUGAAUGUCAGUCUUGAUUGAGCAAAGAUUGAGCAAAGUGUGGAUGGCGAUACGGCCUUUUCUUAUUUUUUUCCCCCUCAGUCUAUGCUGUUCUAUAAAUGUGUUUUUGAGAACCCGAUGACAGCACAUAAACAAAUUGUGAUCCAUGUGGGCAACCGUGUGAAAGCCAGCUUUAGUUUACUGCUACCCAACAGAAAUAACGCCUUUCGUUAUGACUGGUUGAUCUGUGAAACCAAUAAACAAACAUUUCCGAGGUGAGAAGGCCUUCCACAUUAUGCGACAACACUUUCGUGUGAAAUUCAUUGAAUGAUUUGAAAUAAUUUGAACUCGUAUUCACAACAAGGGACGAUUUUCUCACUAAGGAAUAGUAUAAUAUUUGGAUUACAUUUUUUAUUUGUAUUCUGCUCAUUUUCAAGUUUUAUAAACGGUGUGCCUCUACUGUGAGACGUUCCCAUGCUUUAAUGUUCAAAAAGCUCUUUAUUUUUCUCACACUGCCUGUGCUGCAGCACCUCUUUUCACCCUCUGUCUGAAACCAGAGCCCAGUCGGCUUUGAUUGGUUAGCUGACCGGCUCUGUUGUGAUUGGUCAACCACUUAGAGAUGGCCCCGCCCCAUAGCCUAUCAGGUACAAUGUGUUGGAGCACUAGUCAAUAGAAGAGCAGGUGUUACGUAGGGAUGUCACUAUGUUACAGAAGUAAACAGGGGGAGAUGGGUGCGAGAGAAACUCCCUUUACAGGGAACUUCAGGAUUUUAGUCUUUCAGAAUCAGAAUCCCCUUAUUUGUCCCACAGAGGGGACAUUUUUGCUGACCAUUAAAUGCACAAAAACCUAAAUAACACACUACAGGAAAGGGUAAACCCCAAAACGCAUAAAAGGGCCUCUUUAAUGUGUAAAAUAAAGUAUUCGAUAUUAAAACUAAAUAACUGAUUUAAACCUAAUACAUUCUUCUUAUUUCCAUCCAAUCUUAGACAUUCUGAAAGAACCCAAAGCUUUGGAAAACACCUUUUGUAAAGAUGGUUCACUUUUAGUUUAGUUUACCUAAAUAUAGCUGAAAGGUUUUCCCAGUUCUCUUUUUAUUUAAACUUAACAUGUUGCAGCUGGCAGCUAUAAAAAGUUAUUUGAAAGUUUGACUGAAUUUUGUUUUGUG
This is a long non-coding RNA of Eleginops maclovinus (Patagonian blennie), 1761 nucleotides long. RefSeq lists it as uncharacterized. The record is from RefSeq and is a predicted model, not a curated record. Lineage: Eukaryota; Metazoa; Chordata; Actinopteri; Perciformes; Eleginopidae. The transcript has 3 exons.